CACAGAUCCUGUUCUCCUCUGGAUUGCACCAAAACCACAGACCAGUUCAACUGUUCCUGUGAGACUGUGGGAAAGCCUUCUCCCACUUUACAGUGGUAUUUGGAUGGGUUACCUGUCAAUCACUCAGACACAUUUGCAAUCAGCAAUGAGCCUCUAAAUGAGACAGGUCUGAGGAUAAUCAUCACUGUGAAUCAACCACAAUGGAGGAAUCUUUCCACUUUGCUCUGCCGCAGCUCCAACUCUCUGGGAUCUGCUACUCAGAGGUUUUAUUUCUACAGCCUUGAGCCUCAAACAUCUGCACAAUACCAAGUGACACUGACAGUCUUCAUCAUCAUAGUUGUUGCACUGCUAGUACUAGUAUGUGCUCUGCUGUUAGUCAACAGAGCUCAGAAGACUCGCCAUAAUCUUCCUAAGGGCACCCUUGCUAUGAGUCAACUUA
This is a long non-coding RNA of Dicentrarchus labrax (European seabass), 439 nucleotides long. RefSeq lists it as uncharacterized. Lineage: Eukaryota; Metazoa; Chordata; Actinopteri; Moronidae. The record is from RefSeq and is a predicted model, not a curated record. The transcript has 3 exons.